UUUUCAUCUUGGUCUUCUUGUUUCUUUCAGUCCAUGAGCGCUGGACCACUAGCUCAAGAGCAAGGCCUUCUUCAAGGUACCAAACAGAUCAGCUACAGAUCUUUCAUAUCUUCUGUUGGAUGCCAUGAUGACUUCUGUGCUUAAUUAUGAAAUUCAAUCAAAAGAUAUAUGGAUGAUUCUAUGGUUUGUGGCAAGUAUACUGCAAUCAUGAUGAUGAUGUUCCCGUUGAUGAUGAUGAUGAUGAUG
This is a long non-coding RNA of Triticum aestivum (bread wheat), 246 nucleotides long. RefSeq lists it as uncharacterized. The record is from RefSeq and is a predicted model, not a curated record. The transcript is spliced from 3 exons. NCBI's taxonomy places the organism in Eukaryota, Viridiplantae, Streptophyta, Magnoliopsida, Poales, Poaceae.